GAUGAACGCUGGCGGCGUGCCUAAUACAUGCAAGUCGAGCGAACAGACGAGGAGCUUGCUCCUCUGACGUUAGCGGCGGACGGGUGAGUAACACGUGGAUAACCUACCUAUAAGACUGGGAUAACUUCGGGAAACCGGAGCUAAUACCGGAUAAUAUAUUGAACCGCAUGGUUCAAUAGUGAAAGACGGUUUUGCUGUCACUUAUAGAUGGAUCCGCGCCGCAUUAGCUAGUUGGUAAGGUAACGGCUUACCAAGGCAACGAUGCGUAGCCGACCUGAGAGGGGGGUCGGCCACACUGGAACUGAGACACGGUCCAGACUCCUACGGGAGGCAGCAGUAGGGAAUCUUCCGCAAUGGGCGAAAGCUUGACGGAGCAACGCCGCGCGAGUGAUGAAGGUCUUCGGAUCGUAAAACUCUGUUAUUAGGGAAGAACAAAUGUGUAAGUAACUAUGCACGUCUUGACGGUACCUAAUCAGAAAGCCACGGCUAACUACGUG
Molecule: ribosomal RNA, 497 nt
Filed under: uncultured bacterium
Lineage: Bacteria
Description: partial 16S ribosomal RNA
Rfam family: Bacterial small subunit ribosomal RNA
Source: RNAcentral